UGAGACGAUGCUUUUAACAGAACCAUCGAAAUGGUUUGCUUAACGAGAUACAAAUGUAUGUAUCUUCGGGAUAACGAAUAGUGAAAAUAAUCAAUGGCGGUGACAUGAAAAAAUUCAUCUGCCACGCGCCGUUCACCCGAUACGGCUCUUCUGCUAACCCACGUGCUACGCUCCUCAGCUUUCAGCUACACCUCCGUCGCCCACGCUGAAAGUCACGGCCCACGUUCGCGAUGACGCAUCUAUAUGCAUCCUGGUAUUUGUUUUUACAGACAAUCUAGGAGAAAUAAAUGGAGAAAUAUCGAUGCAUUUUGAAUGGUUAUCUUCUACCGAGAAACUACGCGAAAAUUACGUAAAUCCUUUUCGCGAUUUAUCUAUAUCGUUGGAUCUUUGGCGAUAUUUACUGUUAUAAUUCAUUUUCCAAGACGAACAAAUUGUAUUGCGCGUAUGUCGUACACUGGCUCGGGAAAGUGUUUGGAUAUUUAUCAUAGAAAACUUUUAGGUCUAUGCUUCAUGUGUUACACGUAUUUUGAAAUUUCAUCGACACUGUAACGAGACGCGACGUGUUACGACUAUAUUGGCAAAUUUUGAGACCAAUUUGAAGAUGUAUAUACACGUUACAAGAUAUUUACCGCAGAUGUGUUACUAGCAUACGACGUUCAACUACUUUUCUGGUCUCUGUGAGAUACAAAUAAACGAAUAAUUUUAUUAACAUUUUAAUUAUCCAUCAACAACCUGCUGAAUUUUAAAACUGCUCUGUGAAAAAUAGAAAACGUAACUUAUCGUAUUAUUGCUCCUCUAUCAUAAAGUCUUCAAUCGCAUUAUUCCUACUCCAUGAAACACACGUUAUUUUCAAGAAACUGUAGCUCGAUCGAUCGUAUUAAACGAUAAAUAGAUAAAAAUUACCGUAGGAUGCGCGAGACGCGUCAUGGGACGCGAACGAUUCGCGAAAUUUGAUCGUUGGACGAUUCACCUGGAAAGAGCGGAGGUGAAUAAUAGAAAAAAAAAGGGUAUUCGAUCGCGUUGCUUGAAUUCCAUUUUUUAGGGACCCCAUCUACUACCCUUUGGCCCUUUGGUGCAACUCUACAAGGGUCGCGUUAAUUGUCGAGCUGACACGCGCACGUAAGCCCACCUAUCGAAAACCAUGUCUCAUAAUAUAUCAGCGAUGACAUCGAGGCUGUCGUUCGAUCCCUUCCCAUCAAUUUGCGGCAGUGCCAUGUUCCCAGCAUAGACAUAUCCUCAUUUAUCCCAAUGUCCUACACGUCGCCAGCCAAUUUGCUAAUCGAGCCAAUCAUCCAAUCGUAUUAACCUUGCCGGCCAUUCAGAGACCCCGGUCUUCUUUUUAUUGGUUGGUUCCUGCGACAGGUUUCACAUUUGCAAACACACCAGCCUCCAAGGUGUUAAACGGUCUGGUCGUAUCGGGACACGUCGUUUACCUUUAUCGAUCGAUCUACAAGAGCCAUUAACGCCUCAAAAGGAUACUCGUUGCCGUGUAGAGGCGAAUUUAAACUUUACACUUCGGACAUGCAUCGUGAACGAUUCAUUCACGCGCGAAAGCUAUAAAGAUUGUUUCCAUCUGCGGUUCAUCCGGAAUGACCAACCAAAGAUACGGCCAAUCUCUGCUUUCGAGUUGGAUUAUGGUCGGAGAAGCAGUAACCGACCUGUCGAAUGAAGCUAAGCUAUCGCAUCAAGAUCUUCUUAAAUCAAUCCAUAGUAUCGGAAAAGAAGAAUGGAACAGGUUAUGGAGUUCGACCAGGAGAAUCCAACUUCGCGUCAGAGUUGAAAACUUCUAUCAUCCAAUGCCUUUCUUCGAUUCUGUGUUUCACCGAAAAACUCGCUUAAUUACGGAUUCUAUAAUUUUACCAUUCAAUGAUAAUUCUAUGGUUUUACAAUGUUGCUACUAUUUUGUUUGCAACAUUACGAUAAACUACGAUUUGCUUGGUCCUCGAUUGGAUUAAACGGCACGACGGAGGAGACUUUAUUCAAAGGAAUUUCGAACGAGCUCGCAGACUGCAAGAUAAAUGGCUCGCUUUAACAACGAGAACGAUGGACGACGUACGAAGAUCGUACGAUGUGGGAUCACGUAUCGACGAAAACAUAAAGCAUCACAGGGGAUUCCUGGCACGCUCGGUUUAAGUCAGAACCGUAAUCCGAACGCCCCUUUCAUCCUUUAUUCCAUGAACUCCGCCCCGUGAAAUUUCGUCGAUGAAGACGAAACACACAGCAGAAGCAGCGUGGUAGAUAGAUUGGCUGACUUUACGCGAUCGCUCGUUAACUCAAAGUAAUCGAAAAUUCUUUCAUCCGAAAUGGGAGAAAAAAGAACGCGCCUCGACGUAUGGAAGUAUUCUUUAGAGUCAGGUAUUUUGCCCUUUCUCCUGUAUCGAACCAUCGUAAAUCAUCCGUCGAUGUUUCCAAACCGCAGCUCGUUCUUUGACUAAGCAACUUUGAAGAGAGCCUGUAUGUACCGAUAUAUCGAUCUUCGUCUUUUUCAUCUUUAUGAAUGACACCAGUGUGCUCGUUGGUAUUUGCCAGACUAUCCGCGCUAUUGCCUAGGUUUCGUAUUUUCUCGUAAUACUUUCCUCCUUUUACGUGUAACUCGCUAUGACAUCUACGUUUUAGACCUCGUCUUUCAAGGGAAAUUAAUUAACGUGUCCUGUAUCUGCGUUCUUUGAUCGGAAGCUUCGCAGGGACCGGAACGUAUUGAACAAAAGUUAAAGAUGCUGGAACCUUUCCUUUUGGAAUUUUCUUUCUACAGGAAGAUAGUAAGUACCGCUUGUAAUUACCAAUUCGUCACAAAUUUCUACACUUUGUUCAAAUUCAAAUGGAACUAUUAUAACAAAUCGUAGUGGUCAGAGAUAUCUUCCACAUCUCUCUAUUAGCCUUUGCUCGAUUCCAAUCGGCCCGUUGCGCAGUCUCCAUUUCAAUUACGCGAGGCUAUCGUUCCCACGUAAUAUGGUAUCAUUUACAGUGACCGAAAGCUUCGCGGGGGGGACAAAAAAACGUUGGAUCUACGCGGUAUCGAUUUUAUCGCAGCUCUCGAUUUACUAGCGACCGAUUCGACCGCAGGUUCCAUCGCGCACCAGCUGGAGGCAGCCGCCACACGGGCAAACGUACAACGCGGGAACCAGCCGACGAACGAGUACACCGGCCCACGCCAUCCGCCUCUGCGUGCAAUUGCACCUCGUAGCACCAUGGAAAAUUGGAUAAUGCGACUCGCACAACCCGGGAACAAGCGGAAUCUGUCCGACGUUAUACGGACAAACCGUGGCGAUCUUCUUCGAUGCUCGGGCGCGUUUCGAAUUUUCCUCCGCUUCCGGGAAGAACGAUCGCCCUCGAUCUCACGCAGUUCCGUGAAUCGCUUUCCCCUUUUGCAACUUGACGUUGUGUGGGUGCGACGAUCUAACCUCGACGAAGGAAAGGUAAAUCAAGAAGGUUUGCUUAAUCGCGUUUCGCGUGGUCGUAAAGUUACAAUCGUCUUAUCCCGUAGAAAUUGGUGAUCGCACGCAACGGGCUGCGUCUAGCUAACUUGUUGGCGAAGCCUCGUUCAAAUUGGUCAAGCAAUUUGAACUUGGCUUUGGAUUAAUAGCACGCGUUAAGUUAUUUGAAUUAAACGGCUGUUCUGAAUGAAAUUUCUUCGGACAGCGGAUGGUAAAUAAUGUGAGUAGCGAGGAUAGUCUGUGAAAGUCGCAUAGCGCAAGUCAGAUUACUUUAAUUAAGCGGCUCAAUUUUUCGCUUGUGUCUUUGACAACGUUUAUACGUUCUUACUGUUAUUUCAUAUCACUUUCUUAUUGCUUUAGUACGAAGCUAAUAUCGCACACGUUAAUAUUUUGUAUAUAAUGACAUCAAAGAGAAAAUGUCUUGUAUCGAGCGCCGAGAGGAAAGAAAAUACUUCAGAAGUUAGAGAAGGUAGAUAAUUAAUGACGUCAAGAACAGGAACAUGUAAUUGGAAAUUACUCGGCUGUUUCAAGAAGUAGAAGAACUUGCAUGGUAUUGAAAAAUAAAUACCCGCGCUCUGUUUUGCAAUUAUGGUAAUGAAUCAGCGAUAAAGAAAUGUCACUAUCUAAAUAUAUAUAUUAUAACGCUAAUAUCUCGAAACAUUUGGAAUUUUCCAUACAUAUUGUCAACACUUUAAGUUCCCGUGUUGAAAGCAAGAAGAUUACAUUGAAAAUGACGAUGAACGACCAUCUUAUUUUCAAAUAUUCCGAAAAGACGCGGAUUCUAUUAACCGAAAAUUCCAUCGUCCCAACGAUUAUGUCUCUCUCCAUUAGUACGGAUACUAGAAAUUCCACUGUAAUGGUUUGUGAAAUGAUUAGUUCAAUUUUCUAAAACUUCCUACGCUUAGAUACGUUUCGACCGGAGAAACCGGUUGUCCAUAGACGAUUCUGAGCUACGAAGAUCGAUUCCGCAAAGUGCAGCUUCUUUUUUCGUCGUGUCACAGAACGAGGCGCACGUUCUUUUUUUGCAAUAACAAGUUAUUCCUUUUUGCCGCGACCAGCGACUGAAGAACUGCAAGAAAGCGGCGUUGGCAACUGGUGUUUCGCGUCGCUUCCUGCAAAGCUAAGCAAGCGGUUGCAGUGCUACGGGGGGACACGUAAUUAACGUUUAUAAACCAACGUGCCCCGGAAUAAAGAGACCUGGCCGAAUAGUACGCGCGGCAACUAUCUACGUAUACGGAAGUUACGACCCGUUAUUUAUCGCGUUAUUACGCUGAAUAUCGUCCGCCUGUUGGAAAUAACACGAGGCAUUUAAGGGAUCGUAAAGGACACUCGUUUCGUCUUUACGUCGUUUCCCCCUCGAAAUACGAGAAUUACGUUCGCCAGGUUGUUACGUGCACACGCUAGCCGCUCGUAAAAAUCCUUCGCGGCUCACCACCUCCGAUCUUUCCUGGAUACGGUCACCGUAGAUCUGAUCUAGACAUUUUUUAUCCUUUUGCUAGCCUCGGUUUACUCCGCGCGGUGUUUCCAACGGGUUAAUUAGUCGGAUAAAAUCCGUAUUCUAAUAUUUAGUCUGUGGAUAUUUAUGCAAGUUCGUGUUUGUCUGAAUAGGUACAAUUAAACAGGUAGAAUGUAGGUAUAGAAAAUCGUUUGAAAAUCGUAUAGAAAGUCGAUACAUUAAAUAUCGUAUUAACUGAUAGUUACUAGAAAGUACUGUAUGUUGGAUAUCUUAUAUAUCGUCGCGUCUUUAAAUUUUCCAUGAAAAUUCGCGGUCUACUAAUACCGCGAUACGAAAUUGAGCUAUUGGAAACAGAAAAAUCUUUUUAUAUCAGAAAUAUCAGGAACGGAUUGAUGAUACUGGGUAACAUACAAUUUUUUAUUACACGCUACGAUAUGAAAUCACGUAUUAAAA
Bombus pyrosoma is the source of this 5343-nucleotide long non-coding RNA. RefSeq lists it as uncharacterized. The record is from RefSeq and is a predicted model, not a curated record. The transcript is spliced from 2 exons. Lineage: Eukaryota; Metazoa; Arthropoda; Insecta; Hymenoptera; Apidae.